UAGAGUUUGAUCCUUGGCUCAGAUUGAACGCUGGCGGCAGGCCUAACACAUGCAAGUCGAACGGUAGCACAGAGAGCUUGCUCUCGGGUGACGAGUGGCGGACGGGUGAGUAAUGUCUGGGAAACUGCCUGAUGGAGGGGGAUAACUACUGGAAACGGUAGCUAAUACCGCAUAAUGUCGCAAGACCAAAGAGGGGGACCUUCGGGCCUCUUGCCAUCGGAUGUGCCCAGAUGGGAUUAGCUGGCUGGUGAGGUAAUGGCUCACCAGGGCGACGAUCCCUAGCUGGUCUGAGAGGAUGACCAGCCACACUGGAACUGAGACACGGUCCAGACUCCUACGGGAGGCAGCAGUGGGGAAUAUUGCACAAUGGGCGCAAGCCUGAUGCAGCCAUGCCGCGUGUAUGAAGAAGGCCUUCGGGUUGUAAAGUACUUUCAGCGAGGAGGAAGGCGGUAAGGUUAAUAACCUUACCGAUUGACGUUACCCGCAGAAGAAGCACCGGCUAACUCCGUGCCAGCAGCCGCGGUAAUACGGAGGGUGCAAGCGUUAAUCGGAAUUACUGGGCGUAAAGCGCACGCAGGCGGUCUGUCAAGUCGGAUGUGAAAUCCCCGGGCUCAACCUGGGAACUGCAUUCGAAACUGGCAGGCUGGAGUCUUGUAGAGGGGGGUAGAAUUCCAGGUUGUAGCGGUGAAAUGCCGUAGAGAUCUGGAGGAAAUACCGGGUGGGCGAAAGCGGCCCCCUGGACAAAGACUGACGCUCAGUGCCGAAAGCGUGGGGAGCAACAGAUUAGAUACCCCUGGUAGUCCACGCCGUAA
RNAcentral lists this ribosomal RNA (812 nucleotides) under uncultured bacterium. RNAcentral's name for it is "bacterial SSU rRNA". It matches the Rfam family "Bacterial small subunit ribosomal RNA", at positions 1 to 805 of the family's 1533-position model. The record is from RNAcentral.